Molecule: ribosomal RNA, 253 nt
Filed under: uncultured bacterium
Lineage: Bacteria
Description: partial 16S ribosomal RNA
Rfam family: Bacterial small subunit ribosomal RNA
Source: RNAcentral
CACGAACCGUGCGAACGUUAUUCGGAAUUACUGGGCUUAAAGAGUUCGUAGGCGGCGUGUUAAGUUGGGUGUGAAAUCCCUUGGCUCAACCAAGGAAUUGCGCUCAAAACUAGCAUGCUUGAGGAAGACAGGGGUAAGCGGAACUGAUGGUGGAGCGGUGAAAUGCGUAGAUAUCGUGAGGAACACCGGUGGCGAAAGUGGCUCACUGGAUCUUUGCUGACGCUGAGGCACGAAAGCUAGGGUAGCGAACGGG